This 230-nucleotide unclassified non-coding RNA is filed under the name Melitaea cinxia (Glanville fritillary). RNAcentral's name for it is "misc RNA ENSMCXG00005000219.1". The record is from RNAcentral. Lineage: Eukaryota; Metazoa; Arthropoda; Insecta; Lepidoptera; Nymphalidae.
AAUGGAUAUACUUCUAGAGUUUGCAGAGACGAAUCGGGACAUAGCCACAUAGCCUCAGGUCGCUUAACAAGCAUACCACUAGCCCAUCAGGCUACCCGGCAAGCUUGGGUUUCAGUAGCUAACAAACUCAAUUCAAUAGCGGGACGUUCCACAAAAACGCCUGACUACUGGCGUCGCUAUUGGAAAGAGUUCAAGGCGAAAACGAAAUCUAAAGCUGCAGACUGUAGAAG